AAUCAACGCUGGCGGCGCGCUUAACACAUGCAGGUCGCACGAGAAAGGGAGCAAUCCUGAGUAAAGUGGCGUACGGGUGAGUAACACGUGGGAAUCUACCUCUUGGCGGGGAAUAACCCUGGGAAACCGGGGCUAAUACCGCAUAAGCUCGUGAGAGGAAAGCAGCAAUGCACCGAGAGAGGAGCCCGCGGCCGAUUAGCUAGUUGGUGGGGUAAUGGCUCACCAAGGCGAAGAUCGGUAGCCGGCCUGAGAGGGCACACGGCCACACUGGCACUGAAACACGGGCCAGACUCCUACGGGAGGCAGCAGUGGGGAAUCUUGCACAAUGGGGGAAACCCUGAUGCAGCGACGCCGCGUGAGCGAUGAAGCCCUUCGGGGUGUAAAGCUCUUUCGACAGGAACGAUAAUGACGGUACCUGGAGAAGAAGCUGCGGCUAACUACGUG
RNAcentral lists this ribosomal RNA (444 nucleotides) under uncultured bacterium. Its description in RNAcentral is "partial 16S ribosomal RNA". It matches the Rfam family "Bacterial small subunit ribosomal RNA", at positions 29 to 507 of the family's 1533-position model. The record is from RNAcentral.